CCCUUAGAUGUUCUGGGCCGCACGCGUGCUACACUGAGUGGAUCAGCGGGUCAGGUUGCGCGAAAGUGUUUCCUAAUCUUGAAAUCCGCUCGUGAUGGGGAUUGACGGUUGCAAUUUUCUGCCAUGAACGAGGAAUACCUUGUAAGCGCGGGUCAUCAUCCCGCGCUGAAUACGUCCCUGCCCUUUGUACACACCGCCCGUCGCUCCUACCGAUUGAGUGGUCCGGUGAGGCUUUGGGAUCUGGAUGGAAAGAGCGUUUCGCUGUUUCUGCCCGGAAAACUCAGUCGAACCUUAUCAUUUAGAGGAAGGAGAAGUCGUAACA
This 322-nucleotide ribosomal RNA is filed under the name uncultured eukaryote. RNAcentral's name for it is "partial 18S ribosomal RNA". It matches the Rfam family "Eukaryotic small subunit ribosomal RNA", at positions 1470 to 1796 of the family's 1831-position model. The record is from RNAcentral.